GUGGGGAAUAUUGCACAAUGGGCGAAAGCCUGAUGCAGCAACGCCGCGUGAAGGAAGAAGGGUUUCGGCUCGUAAACUUCUAUCGAUGGGGAAGAAACAAAUGACGGUACCCAAAUAAGAAGCCCCGGCUAACUACGUGCCAGCAGCCGCGGUAAUACGUAGGGGGCAAGCGUUAUCCGGAAUUACUGGGUGUAAAGGGAGCGUAGGCGGCAUGGUAAGCCAGAUGUGAAAGCCCGAAGCUUAACUUCGAGGAUUGCAUUUGGAACUAUCAAGCUAGAGUACAGGAGAGGUAAGUGGAAUUCCUAGUGUAGCGGUGAAAUGCGUAGAUAUUAGGAAGAACACCAGUGGCGAAGGCGACUUACUGGACUGAAACUGACGCUGAGGCUCGAAAGCGUGGGGAGCGAACAGGAUUAGAAACCCGAGUAGUCC
This 429-nucleotide ribosomal RNA is filed under the name uncultured bacterium. Its description in RNAcentral is "partial 16S ribosomal RNA". It matches the Rfam family "Bacterial small subunit ribosomal RNA", at positions 354 to 796 of the family's 1533-position model. The record is from RNAcentral.